CAUGUGUGUCUAUUUACUAGAUAUUUAAUUUAAUUUAAUGCGGUUUCAGCUGUGUUGAUUCGGUCAGGUUGUGUGUCCAAACCAUAGACUGUAUAUAGAAUGGAAGCCGUCUGCCUCGUCACUGGGUGAAGCCACUCCGAGAACAGCACCCUCUGUUGAUGGGCUGCAGUAUAGGUCAUAAAUCCCGCCUCCGCCAGCAAAGCUUAUGGGGCUGUGGACCAACUUUAGAAAUUUAUUACAUAUAACAUAAAAUUUUCUCCCCCCUGCUUGCGAUGUUGACAUGUAGUUAUUGUCAGACUGGUUUGUGCUCAAGUCCUUUUUUUCUGUACUGCUGCAUUUUUAAAAGUUAUUAGGGGGUUCAUGUUUGCUAUGAUUGACACCUGAUACAGCCUAUGGGCGUUCAGGGAUUGAGUAGCUCUCCCAGGGAUACGCUGUUUGAGCAGAGCGUCAUCACAGUGACUCUCUGCGACUGCGCGGCCGAAUGCACACAACGCUACAGCACAGCGCUGGUUUCAGGAAAUGAAGAGAAAUCCCUGAAAUACAGAGAGCUUUUUGGGUUCACGAAAAUACCAAACUGGCUGUACGCCGGGCAAGUUCAAAUCAUUGCUCUCCUUAUCUUCCUGGUUUCCUACUCUAUCCACUGUCCUAGCAAAAAGGCACAAAAGCCCAAACCCCCCCAAAAUUUAGGCACAUUUCUUUUUGUUUGUUAAUAUGUGAGACACAUUGUCUUGCUUUAGGUAUUGGCUUUCAGAGUGACGCUUUUUCUGUCUGUUAAAAAGAGCAAUCUAACUUCAAAGCGAGAAACAUAAAAACCUAAUCCAACUUAAAUGUGCUGACUCUUCUCUUGUUUUUGUUACACCUUUUUCUGUUUUCUUUAAGGAGAGAAAAGAGAAGCAUCAUUUAUCGUCUAAGUUUAUGAAACUGUGUGCUUGUCAUGCACAAACAAAAGUUCUCAUCAUCCUAAUUAUAACCUGAGGGUUUGAUGCAGUAAACUCAGGUGUAUUGUAAACUGAAGAAGUUGUGAUAAAAUAUGCUUCAAAAUAUGUAAUAAAAACUGCACUCUGACACAAAACAGCACAAAUAAUGAGAUUCGUUGAGCAGCAGGAAACACUGCUCACCUUAAUGAAUUUGGUUUUUAGCUCUCAGGUACUGCUAAACAUAAUGUUCAGGGAUAGUAAGAGAGAGAAUUAGAUGCUAUUGAUUAACUUAUUUUAUUAGGGCUUUCAAUGGGUGCUAAGAACAUCUCUUAAUAGCUGUGUCCUUAAGCAAAACAGUGAACAAGGGUGAAAAUGUGACCAGAAAACAUUGUUUUGUUUCUGAGAAUUAUACAUUUUCUAAUAGUUUGGGAAUAGGAAGCAAGAAUCAAAGUCACAACUUAGGUUUUCGCAAUGUAAUUUUAUGUUUCCUUGUAAAGAUCCAAAGUAGAGUUUAAAAAAAAUGGAUUGCCUUAGGACAUGAGGAAAUAUCUUCCAUUUCUGUUUUUCAGUUCUCUCAGUUUGUUUGGCCUUUACUCAAGACACAACAACAAAUAUUACAUAAUCUCUCUCAGGAUCAUCAGGAGAUUUGUGUUAAUAUUCCACUCUACUUUCCUCUAAAGGUAGAAGUGACUCUCUCUGUUCACGGCUUUGAAGUGUUCUCCAACUGUCUGACUUUUGUUUGGAGUCGUAGGCUGCUGCAUUAUUUCAUCUACAACAGAAGAUAGAACACAGAAUACAGCAAAUAAAGCAAAAAAUACAGAUUAUAAAACUCAGUUCACAGUGUUACAGAUCUGUUAGAAUUUAGCCAUCCUAGAUUUUGUGCACCCUUGUUGCGUUAGCCACACUUGUGGCUCUUUAGUAGUUAGUCUACUACUAUCUAUUUAACAACUGUUGGAUUGGUUGCAAUAUCAUGAUAACAUUCAGUUCAAAGCAGUGCCGGAUCUAAGUUAAGUCUUGCACACAUAGGGCUCUAUUUUGGUGCCUCGCCGGAGACGUGCCGCAAGCGCAGCGUCAGUCAGAUCCGCCGCGCUGACAAGGCGUUCCCAAGCACAUUUUGGUAUUUUGGUGAGCCGCGCAGCCCGGCGUAAGUAUCCCCCCUCCCUAACUCAGCUCCUCCCAGCACCAUAAGUCGUAGACGGGGAGGAGAAAGGGCGUGUAGUUGAUUUAACACAGCCGAGACCUGUUUUCACCAAUCACAUAGGCUCCUCUCCUUGCCUUUAAAUCCGCCACCGGCGAGGCGUAUUACUAUUUUCAUGAAGUAGUCAAAGAGAUCAAGAGAUGUCUUAAGACAGUAAUGCCACAAGAUGGCGACAGAGGGCAGCUCCUCAACAAGUGCCCUCCACACUCUCUCAUAUGAGCACAGAUGGAUUUAGUGUGCGUAAUGUUGGACCCACUGGUAAGACAAACACCCGUUUCCACAAAUAAAGACACUCACAUAAAGUUGCUCAUAUUCAAACCUCACGUGACAAAGGUGGGUUGAGCGCACAGAUCACAACAUAAACUCCAAAAAUGGCAUUAAAAUCGGAACCAUCUGUGCGUAAAUGACGCAUCGCGCUCCGUGGCCUGGCUCUUUCUUUCACAGAUGUUGGCAUAUAAAAUAAAUUUGGUUCACAAAACUGAAUAUUAUAAUAUCCGUAUGUCGGCUUAAAGUAGAUAACGCAUCUGAGCACUGAAACAAAUCAUCUGUUCAGCUGCAGCAGCAAGACGGACAGAGGACACGGAGACGUGUCCAGGUCGAGCUGUGCGAGAAAUAAGAGGAAGAGGAAGAAAGAAAAGGAGGGAGACGAAUUACAUAUCUUGUUAACUUCAUCAUGUGUGUUUAUUUACUAGAUAUUUAAUUUAAUUUGAUGCGGUUUCAGCUGUGUUGAUUCGGUCAGGUUGUGUGUCCAAACGCGUGCCAAACGCGCUCAUCAGAUCAGAUAUAGAUCAGAAUAUAUCGAUAUAGAUCUAAAUGUAUGUGCUGACUCAGAUUAGUAGUUGAUGAUGAUUAUUUAUUGCACUGAAAUGUGCCUGACACUGUGGAAACCUGCCGGUGAGGCAUCAGUGACGUAUGUCGAUACGCCGCCGGUCUACCAAAAUACUACAAGACCAGCUGCGUUCCGCCUUGCGCUGAAAGCUGACCAGGUUUGAAUCGGCGAGCUUUCAGCGCACUUUACACGCCGUUGGCGAGCACGAAAAUGUCACUGCGCC
This is a non-coding RNA of Xyrichtys novacula (pearly razorfish), 3167 nucleotides long. NCBI's taxonomy places the organism in Eukaryota, Metazoa, Chordata, Actinopteri, Labriformes, Labridae. The record is from the annotation of a GenBank genome assembly.